AUGUAAUGCAUUAACGGUAACGCCUGUGCCUUCCAAACGCUUAGCCAGCUCGCGUGUAAAUAAUAUAUUUGCCAAUUUGCUCUGAUUAAUUUUAGCUGCUGCUCGAUAGUAUGUACGGAAUAAACUGCGACGCAAUAUGGCUAGACGUAUUAUUUAUGAAUUUUCUCGGGCGUAAUUAAGUACCCAAUGGACUAACUAAAAUAAUCGCUGCAUACAUACGUAUGUACAUAGGUUGAACUAGAACCGGAUAAGUAAAACCAAGCUGCUAUAUUCUAAGCCGAAGAUUAGACACACUUCAGCAAUCCCAAAGAAUGUGGAACAUUUGGAAAUUUUUAUUUAUCCAAUAAAUCAAUUAUGUAUAUGUA
Drosophila busckii is the source of this 365-nucleotide long non-coding RNA. RefSeq lists it as uncharacterized. The transcript has 2 exons. Lineage: Eukaryota; Metazoa; Arthropoda; Insecta; Diptera; Drosophilidae. The record is from RefSeq and is a predicted model, not a curated record.